Molecule: ribosomal RNA, 253 nt
Filed under: uncultured bacterium
Lineage: Bacteria
Description: partial 16S ribosomal RNA
Rfam family: Bacterial small subunit ribosomal RNA
Source: RNAcentral
UACGUAGGGUGCAAGCGUUGUCCGGAAUUAUUGGGCGUAAAGAGCUCGUAGGCGGUUCGUCGCGUCGGCUGUGAAAUCCCGGAGCUCAACUCCGGGUCUGCAGUCGAUACGGGCGGACUUGAGUUCGGCAGGGGAGACUGGAAUUCCUGGUGUAGCGGUGAAAUGCGCAGAUAUCAGGAGGAACACCGGUGGCGAAGGCGGGUCUCUGGGCCUUACCUGACGCUGAGGAGCGAAAGCGUGGGGAGCGAACAGG